This is a small nucleolar RNA of Phragmites australis (common reed), 82 nucleotides long. RefSeq annotates it as small nucleolar RNA snoR122. The record is from RefSeq and is a predicted model, not a curated record. Lineage: Eukaryota; Viridiplantae; Streptophyta; Magnoliopsida; Poales; Poaceae. The transcript has a single exon.
UGCCGAUGAUGCAUAAAAAAAAUGCACGUACUGUCGGAUUGUUCCAUGACGAUCUGCAAAAAUUGUCACUACCACUGAGGCG